AGAGCGCAAGGGGAAUGCCUUGGCAUCAGGAGCCGAUGAAGGACGUGAUAAGCUGCGAUAAGCUUCGGGGAGCUGCAAAUGAGCUGUGAUCCGGAGAUUUCCGAAUGGGGAAACCCACCGCAAGGUAUCCUAUACUGAAUCAAAUAGGUAUAGGAGGGGAACCGCCUGAACUGAAACAUCUAAGUAGGGCGAGGAAAAGACAUCAACCGAGAUUCCGCGAGUAGUGGCGAGCGAAAGCGGAUUAGGCCAAACCGGAGGUAGCAAUAUCUCCGGGGUUACGGACAGCGACAUGAAGAGUCAUCUCUAAAAGAACGGCAUGGGAAGGCCGGCCAGAGAGUGUGAGAGCCACGUAUUUGAAAGAGAGGACUUGGAUAGCUGGAUCCAGAGUACCGCGGGACACGAGGAAUCCCGUGGGAAGUCGGGGGGACCACCCUCCAAGCCUAAAUACUACCUGAUGACCGAUAGAGGAGCAGUACCGUGAGGGAAAGGUGAAAAGAACCCCGGGAGGGGAGUGAAAGAGUACCUGAAACCUUGUGCUUACAAGCAGUCAAAGCCCGUUAAAGGGUGAUGGCGUACUUUUUGUAGAACGGUCCGGCGAGUUAUAGUAACUGGCAAGGUUAAGACAUUGAGUGUCGAAGCCGAAGGGAAACCGAGUGUGAAGAGCGCGUUUAAGUCAGUUGCCAUAGACCCGAAACCAGGUGACCUAGCCAUGACCAGGCUGAAGUGGAGGUAAAGCUCCAUGGAGGGCCGAACCCACGUUCGUUGCAAUGACCGGGGAUGAGUUGUGGCUAGCGGUGAAAUUCCAAACGAACCUGGAGAUAGCUGGUUCUCCCCGAAAUAGUUUUAGGACUAGCGUUGGCAAUGAGUUUCUCGGUGGUAAAGCACUGAAUGGGCUAGGGGGCGAUAAGCUUACUGAACCCUAUCAAACUAAGAAUGCCGAAGAAAUGCUUACCAGCAGUCAGACUACGAGUAAUAAAAUCCGUGGUCAAAAGGGAAAUAGCCCAGACCCACAGCUAAGGUCCCGAAUACAUGCUAAGUGGAAAACGAUGUGAGAUUGCAGAAACAACCAGGAUGUUGGCUUAGAGGCAGCCACUCGUUCAAAGAGUGCGUAAUAGCUCACUGGUCGAGUGAUCUUGCGCGGAAAAUUUAACGGGGCUAAGCAUGUAACCGAAGCUUGGGAUUCACAGUAAAAUGUGAGUGGUAGGGGAGCGUCGAAUACGGGGUGAAGUCGCACCGGAAGGAGCGGUGGACUGUAUUCGAGUGAGAAUGCCGGAAUGAGUAGCGAGAAUUAUGUGGGAAUCAUAAUGGCCGAAAAUCUAAGGUUUCCUGGGGAAGGUUCGUCCGCCCAGGGUAAGCCGGGAGCUAAGGCGAGGCCGCAAGGCGUAGUCGAUGCACAUACGGUAGAAAUUCCGUAGCCGGUACAAUUGUUAAUCACGGUGACACAUGAGCGUAGCUCUACCGGGCGUUGGUUGCCCCGGGAGUAAUCGAGCCGAAUGAGGCGAAGUGAGUGAAGCUUGUGGCGAGAAAAGCCGUGUGGAUUGAUUGUACCGCCCGUACCGCAAACCGACACAGGUAGAUGAGGAGAAGAUCCUAAGGCCAACGGGAGAAGGGUUGUUAAGGAACUAGGCAAAUUGACCCCGUAACUUCGGAAUAAGGGGUGCCUACGAAAGUAGGUCGCAGAGAAUAGGCCCAAGCAACUGUUUACCAAAAACACAGGUCUCUGCUAAAUCGAAAGAUGACGUAUAGGGGCUGACGCCUGCCCGGUGCUGGAAGGUUAAGAGGAGAGCUUAGGGAAACCGAAGGUUCGAAUUGAAGCCCCAGUAAACGGCGGCCGUAACUAUAACGGUCCUAAGGUAGCGAAAUUCCUUGUCAGGUAAGUUCUGACCCGCACGAAUGGCGUAAUGAUUUGGGCACUGUCUCAACAGCCCGCCCGGCGAAAUUGUAGUACUGGUGAAGAUGCCAGUUACCCGCAACUAGACGGAAAGACCCCAUGGAGCUUUACUGCAGCUUAAUACUGGAAUUCGGUAAAUCAUGUACAGGAUAGGUGGGAGACUUGGAAGCAUUGGCGUCAGCCAGUGUGGAGUCGCUGGUGGGAUACCACUCUUGAUUUGCUGGGUUUCUAACCUGCGGCCGUGAAUCCGGUCGGGGGACACUGUUAGUAGGGGCGAACAGUGUUCGCCCAUGCUCAGAACUUGUACAAAUUCAGAACUGUAGGGGACGACGCCCUACAUGGUUUGUGAAAAUAUAACGAAUGUACGAAUAUCAUAAAAUUGUCGGGCGAUAUAUGCAGGCGAACGCUGUUCGCCCCUACCGUAUAUCGUGCGAACAACUCAGUCGUGGAUAUAAAAAAAAGAGCCGACCAAAGCCGACUCGUUUUUAUAGAAAGAAUUAUCUGAUAGCUUCCUUGACCUUAGCUGCCUUACCAACUCUGUCACGGAGAUAAUAGAGCUUAGCACGGCGAACCUUACCGCUGCGUACAACCUCUACCUUUUCAACUACAGGUGAAUGAACAGGGAAAACUCUCUCGAUUCCACAGCCGUGAGCUACUCUACGAACUGUGAAUGUCUCGUGGAUUCCACCGU
This 2582-nucleotide ribosomal RNA is filed under the name human gut metagenome. RNAcentral describes it as "bacterial LSU rRNA". It matches the Rfam family "Bacterial large subunit ribosomal RNA", at positions 14 to 2292 of the family's 2925-position model. The record is from RNAcentral.